AGGCUGGCCUGCGGACGAGUCCCUCGCCAACCCGGUCAGAUCCGGAAGGAAGCAGCCGUAACGAGACAGGUUCGGGUCGCGUGUCCAGUCUUCC
RNAcentral lists this signal recognition particle RNA (94 nucleotides) under Alphaproteobacteria bacterium. RNAcentral describes it as "signal recognition particle sRNA small type". It matches the Rfam family "Bacterial small signal recognition particle RNA". Rfam says of the family: The signal recognition particle (SRP) is a universally conserved ribonucleoprotein involved in the co-translational targeting of proteins to membranes. Archaeal SRP consists of a 7S RNA and homologues of the eukaryotic SRP19 and SRP54 proteins. The record is from RNAcentral. Lineage: Bacteria; Pseudomonadati; Pseudomonadota; Alphaproteobacteria.